CCCUUAGAUGUUCUGGGCCGCACGCGCGCUACACUGAUGCAUUCAACGAGUCUAAAACCUGGUCUGAGAGGGCUGGGUAAUCUUUUGAAAGUGCAUCGUGAUUGGGAUAGAUGAUUGCAAUUCUUCAUCUUCAACGAGGAAUGCCUAGUAAACGCAAGUCAUCAGCUUGCAUUGAUUACGUCCCUGCCCUUUGUACACACCGCCCGUCGCUCCUACCGAUUGAACGAUCCGAUGAAAACUGUGGAUUGAGAGUCUGAGUGGGUUCGCCUACCUCAACUUUCGAGAAGCGGUUUAAAUCUUAUCGUUUAGAGGAAGGAGAAGUCGUAUCA
Molecule: ribosomal RNA, 329 nt
Filed under: uncultured eukaryote
Lineage: Eukaryota
Description: partial 18S ribosomal RNA
Rfam family: Eukaryotic small subunit ribosomal RNA
Source: RNAcentral